AAUAGAUACCCGGGUAGUCCACGCCGUAAACGAUGAGUGCUAGGUGUUGGGGGCUUCCUGUCCUCAGUGCCGAAGGAAACCCAAUAAGCACUCCGCCUGGGGAGUACGGCCGCAAGGCUGAAACUCAAAGGAAUUGACGGGGGCCCGCACAAGCGGUGGAGCAUGUGGUUUAAUUCGAAGCAACGCGAAGAACCUUACCAAGGCUUGACAUCCCGCUGAUCCCUCUAGAGAUAGAGGUUCCCUUCGGGGCAGCGGUGACAGGUGGUGCAUGGUUGUCGUCAGCUCGUGUCGUGAGAUGUUGGGUUCAGUCCCGCAACGAGCGCAACCCUUAUCCUUAGUUGCCAGCAUUCAGUUGGGCUCUCUAAGGAGACAGCCGGUGAAAGCCAGAGGAAGGUGGGGAUGACGUCAAAUCAUCAUGCCCCUUACGUCUUGGGCUACACACGUGCUACAAUGGAUGGUACAAAGGGCAGCGAACCCGCGAGGGGGAGCGAAUCCCAGAAAGCCAUUCUCAGUUCGGAUUGUAGG
This 525-nucleotide ribosomal RNA is filed under the name uncultured bacterium. RNAcentral describes it as "bacterial SSU rRNA". It matches the Rfam family "Bacterial small subunit ribosomal RNA", at positions 777 to 1304 of the family's 1533-position model. The record is from RNAcentral.